This 1166-nucleotide long non-coding RNA is filed under the name Anas platyrhynchos platyrhynchos (common mallard). RNAcentral's name for it is "lncRNA (ENSAPLG00000023110.1)". The record is from RNAcentral. Lineage: Eukaryota; Metazoa; Chordata; Aves; Anseriformes; Anatidae.
UGGGGGGGGGGGGGGGGGGGGGGUGAUAGCACCCAAGGGUGGUGCCACGAUUGGGUAUGGCGGGGGCGUCGCCGUGGUGACGUCACGAUGACGUCAUCAUGAUGUCACCCGAUGCCACGGUGACGUCACGGUGAUGUCACCCGACGCCCAGGGGGUGUCGUCACCCAAAGCCACAGUGAUGUCACAAUGACGUCACCCAACACCAUGAUGACGUCACCCAACGCCAUGGGGACACCCUGAUGACGUCACCCGGCGUCAUGGUGACGUCACCCAACGCCUUGGGGACACCCUGAUGACGUCACCCAGUGUCACGGUGACGUCACCCAACACUGCGAUGAUGUCACCCAACGCCGUGGGGACACCGUGAUGACAUCACCCGGCGUCACGGUGACGUCACCCAACACCACAGGGACACCCUGAUGACGUCACCCAACACCAUGGUGACAUCACCCAACACCCCGAUGACGUCACCCAAUGUCACGUGGAUGUCACCCAACACCCAAUGACGUCACCAACACCCUGCUGAGGCUGUCCGCACCCUGGUGACGUCACCCAACAUCCCCGUGACGUCACCCAACGUCACAUUAAUGUCACCCAACACCUCGAUGACGUCACCAGCACCACGGUGAUGUCACCCAAGGCCCCGAUGACGUCACCCAACCCCCUGACGAUGUCCCUAAGGUCCCAAUGACAUCACCCAACACCACACUGACGUCACCCAACGCCCCAACGACGCGCCCAACACAACAAAGACGCCACCAAUGCCCCGAUGACAUCACCCAAUGCCCCAAAGACAUCACCCAACGCCACGUUGAUGUCCCCAAGGUCCCGAUGACGUCACCCAAUGCCAUGUUGAUGUCACCCAACGCCCCAACAACGCACCCAACGCAAUGAAGAUGCCACCAACACCCCGAUGACAUCACCCAAGGCCCUGAUGACAUCACCCAAGGCCCCAAUGAUGCCACCCAACGCCACCGAAGACCCCAAUGAUGUCCCCCAACGCAACGAAGAUGCCACCAAUGCCCCGAUGACGCCCCCCAAGGCCCCAGUGCCAUCACCCAACCCCCUGAUGAUGUCCCCAAGGUCCUGAUGACGUCACCCAACACCAUGUUGAUGUCACCCAACGCCCCAACAACGCGCCUAACACAACGAAGAUGCCACCAACG